UUGAAAAAUGAUUCUGCAUGAUGAAGACGAGGAGGAAAUAAACUAAAGAAAAACACACAUUUCAAACCAAACCACUGACAAUGGGAAAACCUGCUUCCUCUGGCCUCUCUCAGUUCAGAGAGUUCAAACUGAAUUUAAACAAGUAAUUGACUUGUCACUGGG
Molecule: non-coding RNA, 162 nt
Organism: Odocoileus virginianus texanus
Lineage: Eukaryota; Metazoa; Chordata; Mammalia; Artiodactyla; Cervidae
Source: RefSeq, a predicted model, not a curated record